This 29-nucleotide non-coding RNA is filed under the name Cricetulus griseus (Chinese hamster). The record is from RNAcentral. Lineage: Eukaryota; Metazoa; Chordata; Mammalia; Rodentia; Cricetidae.
AUGUGGACGAGGCCUCCAAGAAGGAGAUC